RNAcentral lists this ribosomal RNA (30 nucleotides) under Candidozyma auris. Its description in RNAcentral is "[Candida] auris partial 18S ribosomal RNA". Lineage: Eukaryota; Fungi; Ascomycota; Pichiomycetes; Serinales; Metschnikowiaceae. The record is from RNAcentral.
UAACAAGGUUAACCUGCGGAAGGAUCAUUA